CCAGUUUCUGGCCUUUUGGCUAAGAUCAAGUGUAGUAUCUGUUCUUAUCAGUGGAGGGGUACAUCCUAGCUAAGGGAUGUACAUCAGGUACUCUUC
Molecule: small nuclear RNA, 96 nt
Filed under: Xenopus laevis (African clawed frog)
Lineage: Eukaryota; Metazoa; Chordata; Amphibia; Anura; Pipidae
Description: U2 spliceosomal RNA
Rfam family: U2 spliceosomal RNA
About the family: U2 is a small nuclear RNA (snRNA) component of the spliceosome (involved in pre-mRNA splicing). Complementary binding between U2 snRNA (in an area lying towards the 5' end but 3' to hairpin I) and the branchpoint sequence (BPS) of the intron results the bulging out of an unpaired adenosine, on the BPS, which initiates a nucleophilic attack at the intronic 5' splice site, thus starting the first of two transesterification reactions that mediate splicing.
Source: Rfam by way of RNAcentral